GGGGGCGUAGUUCAGCUGGUUAGAAUACAUGCCUGUCACGCAUGGGGUCGCGGGUUCGAGCCCCGUCGCUCCCGCCA
Molecule: transfer RNA, 77 nt
Filed under: Acetobacter sp.
Lineage: Bacteria; Pseudomonadati; Pseudomonadota; Alphaproteobacteria; Acetobacterales; Acetobacteraceae
Also listed under: 3 other names
Description: tRNA-Asp
Rfam family: tRNA
About the family: Transfer RNA (tRNA) molecules are approximately 80 nucleotides in length. Their secondary structure includes four short double-helical elements and three loops (D, anti-codon, and T loops). Further hydrogen bonds mediate the characteristic L-shaped molecular structure. tRNAs have two regions of fundamental functional importance: the anti-codon, which is responsible for specific mRNA codon recognition, and the 3' end, to which the tRNAs corresponding amino acid is attached (by aminoacyl-tRNA synthetases). tRNAs cope with the degeneracy of the genetic code in two manners: having more than one tRNA (with a specific anti-codon) for a particular amino acid; and 'wobble' base-pairing, i.e. permitting non-standard base-pairing at the 3rd anti-codon position.
Source: RNAcentral